UGUGUAGGCGGAAAAGUAAGCGUCUUGUGAAAGCCCCCGGCUUAACCGGGGAAUUGCUCGGCGAACUGUUUUUCUUGAGGCAGACAGGGGUGCGUGGAACUCUUGGUGGAGCGGUGGAAUGCGUAGAUAUCAAGAGGAACGCCAGUGGUGAAGACGGCGCACUGGGUCUGAACUGACGCUGAGACACGAAAGCGUGGGGAGCGAACAGGAUUAGAUACCCUGGUAGUCC
This 229-nucleotide ribosomal RNA is filed under the name uncultured bacterium. RNAcentral describes it as "partial 16S ribosomal RNA". It matches the Rfam family "Bacterial small subunit ribosomal RNA", at positions 568 to 796 of the family's 1533-position model. The record is from RNAcentral.